CAUUCACUGUGUAAUGCAGGCCCUUUUGAAGGCUGCACAAAAGUCUUCCUUAAUCCAAGUUGGAUUCAGAUGAUUGAACCAACGCUUUGUGAUACUGGAUGGGUACUGAAAGCCUUCUUUGUGAUUGCUUUUUGAGGUAGUCUUUAUCUAUCCGGGGGGGGGGNNNUGGAUUUCCCCAUGUAUCGCUCUAGUUGUUAUUGGUCAAGUUGAAAGCAAUCUACUCUUAGGAGAUGGUAUUGUUUUGCAUAAAGUUGUAUGACUAUCUCGUUAGAGUUUUUCAAAUGUUUGUCCAUAAUCAAUCAUCAUGGACUCAUUUACAACUUUCAGCAAUGGAUCUCUUGGUUCUCGCAUCGAUGAAGAACGCAUUGAAAUGCNAUAACUGGUGUGAAUUGCAUCCAAGUAACUCUAAUUUACGAAUAACACCAAGUGAAUCAUCGAGUCUUUGAACGCAAUUGCGCCCUCUCGGUCGCUUCCAAUUGGGGGGGUUGACUCAUAGGGGGUACAUCUGUUCGAGGGUCAUUUGAAUCUCUCAAAGGGGGGUUGGUUCACCCCUUUGGAUUUGGGUUUUUGCCGUGAAAUCAUCAUCUUGGCUGACCUUGAAAGCAUUUAGCAAGCUCUUCUUCAGCACUCUCAAGUCUUUUUCCAUGAGGGCGUUCUAAUGGAGGCUCAUCUUAAGCUGGUCUGUGUAGCUGGUGAAUGAUGAAAUACGCCCUGAAUCCAUGGAAGGGGUUCUUCAGUGAUUUGAAACUUGCUCCCAAAUCAUCCUUUAUNAGGGAUGUGUGAUGGACUCCAUUGUGAGCUCUUUCAAUGUAUCAAUGACCUCGAAUCAGAUGAGAUUACCCGCUGAACUUAAGCAUAUCAAUAAGCGGAGGAAAAGAAACUAACAAGGAUUCCCUCAGUAACGGCGAGUGAAGAGGGAAAAGCUCAGUUUUUGGAAUCUGGCAGUGAUUCACUGUCCGAGUUGUAAAUUGAAGAGAGUGCCAUCCAUGCUGGACCAUGUCUAAAUUGUAAUGAUCCACAGUCCUUUGAUGGAGUAUCAGAGAGGGUAAUAAUCCCGUCUUUGGCAUGGACUUUGCCAGCGUUUCUGUGAUGCACUCUCUCAGAGUCGAGUAGUUUGGGAAUGCUGCUCUAAUGGGAGGUAAACUCCUUCUAAAGCUAAAUAUUGGCGAGAGACCGAUAGCGAACAAGUACCGUGAGGGAAAGAUGAAAAGAACUCUGAAAAGAGAGUCAAAUAGAACGUGAAAUUGCUGAAAGGGAAGCAUUUGGAGUCAGACACAUCUUCAUGGGAACACACACCUCAGUAGGGUAGGGGCUGAGAGGGUGUAAGCUUGAGGAUGGGCCAGUCCUCACAAAGACCAUUGAAGAAGGGGUCAUGGAAUGUAGCUCAGUCCUGAGUGAUUAUAGCCUUGAUUCAGAAGCAAUGUGCGUCUCUGUGGGUUGAACAGCAUGAUGAGUGUUNGGCUCUC
RNAcentral lists this ribosomal RNA (1466 nucleotides) under uncultured Craterellus. Its description in RNAcentral is "eukaryotic LSU rRNA". The stretch from base 817 to 1466 matches the Rfam family "Eukaryotic large subunit ribosomal RNA", at positions 1 to 623 of the family's 3401-position model. Lineage: Eukaryota; Fungi; Basidiomycota; Agaricomycetes; Cantharellales; Hydnaceae. The record is from RNAcentral.